ACAGAAUAUUGGCAAACUUAUGGAAACAUAAUGUACGCAAAGCUAAGUGCCUAAAGGAUUUAAGUCCUAUGGUUGACUAGUUGCUGAU
Molecule: non-coding RNA, 88 nt
Filed under: Paenibacillus sp. GP183
Lineage: Bacteria; Bacillati; Bacillota; Bacilli; Caryophanales; Paenibacillaceae
Description: c-di-GMP-I riboswitch aptamer
Rfam family: c-di-GMP-I riboswitch aptamer
About the family: GEMM was predicted in a large-scale screen for bacterial structured RNA regulatory elements. Genes associated with GEMM are involved in a diverse array of functions, including chemotaxis regulation, signal transduction, secretion and chitin.
Source: Rfam by way of RNAcentral